Molecule: ribosomal RNA, 253 nt
Filed under: uncultured bacterium
Lineage: Bacteria
Description: partial 16S ribosomal RNA
Rfam family: Bacterial small subunit ribosomal RNA
Source: RNAcentral
UACGUAUGGUGCAAGCGUUAUCCGGAUUUACUGGGUGUAAAGGGAGCGUAGGCGGCGCGUUAAGUCUGAUGUGAAAACCCGAGGCUCAACCACGGGAGUGCAUUGGAAACUGGCGUGCUGGAGUGCCGGAGAGGUAGGCGGAAUUCCUAGUGUAGCGGUGAAAUGCGUAGAUAUUAGGAGGAACACCAGUGGCGAAGGCGGCUUACUGGACGGCAACUGACGCUGAGGCUCGAAAGCGUGGGGAGCAAACAGG